RNAcentral lists this ribosomal RNA (194 nucleotides) under Lactarius deliciosus. RNAcentral describes it as "partial 28S ribosomal RNA". The stretch from base 51 to 194 matches the Rfam family "Eukaryotic large subunit ribosomal RNA", at positions 1 to 142 of the family's 3401-position model. The record is from RNAcentral. Lineage: Eukaryota; Fungi; Basidiomycota; Agaricomycetes; Russulales; Russulaceae.
UUUGGGCGUGUCUCCCUUCUCGGGAGACUCUCUCAACCCCCACGAACCCUUGACCUCAAAUCGGGUGAGACUACCCGCUGAACUUAAGCAUAUCAAUAAGCGGAGGAAAAGAAACUAACAAGGAUUCCCCUAGUAACUGCGAGUGAAGCGGGAAAAGCUCAAAUUUAAAAUCUGGCGGUCUCUGGCCGUCCGAG